This 447-nucleotide ribosomal RNA is filed under the name Streptomyces sp. 8LC9. RNAcentral describes it as "partial 16S ribosomal RNA". The record is from RNAcentral. Lineage: Bacteria; Bacillati; Actinomycetota; Actinomycetes; Kitasatosporales; Streptomycetaceae.
GUCACUUGCGCUUCUUCCCUGCUGAAGAGGUUUACAACCCGAAGGCCGUCAUCCCUCACGCGGCGUCGCUGCAUCAGGCUUUCGCCCAUUGUGCAAUAUUCCCCACUGCUGCCUCCCGUAGGAGUCUGGGCCGUGUCUCAGUCCCAGUGUGGCCGGUCGCCCUCUCAGGCCGGCUACCCGUCGUCGCCUUGGUAGGCCAUCACCCCACCAACAAGCUGAUAGGCCGCGGGCUCAUCCUUCACCGCCGGAGCUUUCAACCCUCCCCCAUGCGGAGGAAAGUAUUAUCCGGUAUUAGACCCCGUUUCCAGGGCUUGUCCCAGAGUGAAGGGCAGAUUGCCCACGUGUUACUCACCCGUUCGCCACUAAUCCACCCCGAAAGGCUUCAUCGUUCGACUUGCAUGUGUUAAGCACGCCGCCAGCGUUCGUCCUGAGCCAGGAUCAAACUCU